UCCUCUGCUCAGUCUUUAUUUCUUCUUCUCGGCGACACUUUAAAAAAAUAGCAUGCUCUAUCAUGUGCUAUUCUUAGAACUAGUCCUCGUACAUCACAAAUCAUAAGACUUUUACUCCACAUCAUACCAUUUCCAUAAUCGUCAUAACUCAAUGUCUAAGACAUCACUCAUGCCUAUCAUCGUUACAUCAGAACAAUAAAUCAAAGCUCUGCUAUAGUAUAAAGACCCUCUGGUCAAUCGUCAUAUACAUAAGGGAAAAAAAAA
Molecule: long non-coding RNA, 264 nt
Filed under: Salvia miltiorrhiza (redroot sage)
Lineage: Eukaryota; Viridiplantae; Streptophyta; Magnoliopsida; Lamiales; Lamiaceae
Description: long non-coding RNA (SMIL_LNC012846)
Source: RNAcentral